This 460-nucleotide ribosomal RNA is filed under the name uncultured bacterium. RNAcentral describes it as "partial 16S ribosomal RNA". It matches the Rfam family "Bacterial small subunit ribosomal RNA", at positions 338 to 795 of the family's 1533-position model. The record is from RNAcentral.
CCUACGGGGGGCAGCAGUGAGGAAUAUUGGUCAAUGGACGAGAGUCUGAACCAGCCAAGUAGCGUGAAGGAUGACUGCCCUAUGGGUUGUAAACUUCUUUUAUAUGGGAAUAAAAUGUUCCACGUGUGGGAUUUUGUAUGUACCAUAUGAAUAAGGAUCGGCUAACUCCGUGCCAGCAGCCGCGGUAAUACGGAGGAUCCGAGCGUUAUCCGGAUUUAUUGGGUUUAAAGGGAGCGUAGAUGGGUUGUUAAGUCAGUUGUGAAAGUUUGCGGCUCAACCGUAAAAUUGCAAUUGAUACUGGCAGGCUUGAGUACAGUUGAGGUAGGCGGAAUUCGUGGUGUAGCGGUGAAAUGCUUAGAUAUCACGAAGAACUCCGAUUGCGAAGGCAGCUUACUAAACUGCCACUGACAUUGAUGCUCGAAAGUGUGGGUAUCAAACAGGAUUAGAUACCCGGGUAGUC